UGCCGCGUGUGUGAAGAAGGCCUUUUGGUUGUAAAGCACUUUAAGAGAGGAGGAGGCUCUUCUAGUUAAUACCUAGGAUGAGUGGACGUUACUCGCAGAAUAAGCACCGGCUAACUCUGUGCCAGCAGCCGCGGUAAUACAGAGGGUGCGAGCGUUAAUCGGAUUUACUGGGCGUAAAGCGUGCGUAGGCGGCUGAUUAAGUCGGAUGUGAAAUCCCUGAGCUUAACUUAGGAAUUGCAUUCGAUACUGGUCAGCUAGAGUAUGGGAGAGGAUGGUAGAAUUCCAGGUGUAGCGGUGAAAUGCGUAGAGAUCUGGAGGAAUACCGAUGGCGAAGGCAGCCAUCUGGCCUAAUACUGACGCUGAGGUACGAAAGCAUGGGGAGCAAACAGGAUUAGAUACCCUGGUAGUCCAUGCCGUAAACGAUGUCUACUAGCCGUUGGGGCCUUUGAGGCUUUAGUGGCGCAGCUAACGCGAUAAGUAGACCGCCUGGGGAGUACGGUCGCAAGACUAAAACUCAAAUGAAUUGACGGGGGCCCGCACAAGCGGUGGAGCAUGUGGUUUAAUUCGAUGCAACGCGAAGAACCUUACCUGGCCUUGACAUACUAGAAACUUUCCAGA
Molecule: ribosomal RNA, 618 nt
Filed under: Acinetobacter sp. Ri1Pt_3680
Lineage: Bacteria; Pseudomonadati; Pseudomonadota; Gammaproteobacteria; Moraxellales; Moraxellaceae
Description: bacterial SSU rRNA
Rfam family: Bacterial small subunit ribosomal RNA
Source: RNAcentral